RNAcentral lists this ribosomal RNA (1259 nucleotides) under uncultured fungus. RNAcentral describes it as "eukaryotic LSU rRNA". The stretch from base 596 to 1259 matches the Rfam family "Eukaryotic large subunit ribosomal RNA", at positions 1 to 649 of the family's 3401-position model. Lineage: Eukaryota; Fungi. The record is from RNAcentral.
AAGUCGUAACAAGGUUUCCGUAGGUGAACCUGCGGAAGGAUCAUUAGUGAAAAACCGGGUGCUUUCGAGCCCCAACCUCUCACAUCCACACACACCUGUGCAUCCGUCGCGGAGAGUAAGGAUGCAAGUCCCCUCGACGCUUUUUUACAAACUCUUUGUCCUCUGGAUGUAACCUUCAUUGUCGUAAUGGCAUCGAAACUAAAUAAAACUUUUAACAACGGAUCUCUUGGCUCUCGCAUCGAUGAAGAACGCAGCGAAAUGCGAUAAGUAAUGUGAAUUGCAGAAUUCAGUGAAUCAUCGAAUCUUUGAACGCACCUUGCGCUCCCUGGUAUUCCGGGGAGCAUGCCUGUUUGAGUGUCAUGAAGCUCACAACUCCUUCCGGGUUUACUCGUUAGGAGCUUGGACUUGGACGUUGCCGUUCCUUUUAUUAGGGAUGGCUCGUCCGAAAUGCAUUAGCAGGUUCCGCUCCNAUCUUUCGGUUCCACUCGGCGUAAUAAGUAUUAUCGCUGAGGACGUCUUCGGACGGCCGNUUGGGUAGUGUCGAACNGCUUCUAAUCAUGCCUUUGAUCUUUGAUCGAAGCCAAUUUUUAACAUCUGGCCUCGAAUCAGGUAGGACUACCCGCUGAACUUAAGCAUAUCAAUAAGCGGAGGAAAAGAAACUAACAAGGAUUCCCCUAGUAACGGCGAGUGAAGCGGGAAGAGCUCAAAUUUAAAAUCUGGCGGCCUCAGGUCGUCCGAGUUGUAGUCUAGAGAAGUGUUUUCCGCGCCGGACCACGUACAAGUCCCUUGGAACAGGGCGUCAUAGAGGGUGAGAAUCCCGUACUUGACGUGGAGUCCCGGUGCUUUGUGAUACGCUCUCCAAGAGUCGAGUUGUUUGGGAAUGCAGCUCAAAACGGGUGGUAAAUUCCAUCUAAAGCUAAAUAUUGGCGAGAGACCGAUAGCGAACAAGUACCGUGAGGGAAAGAUGAAAAGCACUUUGGAAAGAGAGUUAAACAGUACGUGAAAUUGUUAAAAGGGAAACGAUUGAAGUCAGUCAUGCCUGGCAGGACUCAGCCUUGCUUUUGCUUGGUGCACUUCCUGUUGGGCGGGCCAGCAUCAGUUUUGAUCGGCGGAAAAGGGUGAGAGGAACGUGGCUCCCUCGGGAGUGUUAUAGCCUCUUGUCGUAUACGCCGGUUGGGACUGAGGAACGCAGCGUGCCUUUUGGCGGGUCUUCGGACACCCACACGCUUAGGAUGCUGGCAUAAUGGCUUUAAACGACC